RNAcentral lists this ribosomal RNA (1180 nucleotides) under Bacteroides xylanisolvens. Its description in RNAcentral is "bacterial SSU rRNA". It matches the Rfam family "Bacterial small subunit ribosomal RNA", at positions 348 to 1533 of the family's 1533-position model. Lineage: Bacteria; Pseudomonadati; Bacteroidota; Bacteroidia; Bacteroidales; Bacteroidaceae. The record is from RNAcentral.
GCAGCAGUGAGGAAUAUUGGUCAAUGGACGAGAGUCUGAACCAGCCAAGUAGCGUGAAGGAUGACUGCCCUAUGGGUUGUAAACUUCUUUUAUAUGGGAAUAAAGUAUUCCACGUGUGGAAUUUUGUAUGUACCAUAUGAAUAAGGAUCGGCUAACUCCGUGCCAGCAGCCGCGGUAAUACGGAGGAUCCGAGCGUUAUCCGGAUUUAUUGGGUUUAAAGGGAGCGUAGGUGGAUUGUUAAGUCAGUUGUGAAAGUUUGCGGCUCAACCGUAAAAUUGCAGUUGAAACUGGCAGUCUUGAGUACAGUAGAGGUGGGCGGAAUUCGUGGUGUAGCGGUGAAAUGCUUAGAUAUCACGAAGAACUCCGAUUGCGAAGGCAGCUCACUAGACUGCAACUGACACUGAUGCUCGAAAGUGUGGGUAUCAAACAGGAUUAGAUACCCUGGUAGUCCACACAGUAAACGAUGAAUACUCGCUGUUUGCGAUAUACAGUAAGCGGCCAAGCGAAAGCAUUAAGUAUUCCACCUGGGGAGUACGCCGGCAACGGUGAAACUCAAAGGAAUUGACGGGGGCCCGCACAAGCGGAGGAACAUGUGGUUUAAUUCGAUGAUACGCGAGGAACCUUACCCGGGCUUAAAUUGCAUUUGAAUAAUCUGGAAACAGGUUAGCCGCAAGGCAAAUGUGAAGGUGCUGCAUGGUUGUCGUCAGCUCGUGCCGUGAGGUGUCGGCUUAAGUGCCAUAACGAGCGCAACCCUUAUCUUUAGUUACUAACAGGUUAUGCUGAGGACUCUAGAGAGACUGCCGUCGUAAGAUGUGAGGAAGGUGGGGAUGACGUCAAAUCAGCACGGCCCUUACGUCCGGGGCUACACACGUGUUACAAUGGGGGGUACAGAAGGCAGCUACCUGGCGACAGGAUGCUAAUCCCAAAAACCUCUCUCAGUUCGGAUCGAAGUCUGCAACCCGACUUCGUGAAGCUGGAUUCGCUAGUAAUCGCGCAUCAGCCAUGGCGCGGUGAAUACGUUCCCGGGCCUUGUACACACCGCCCGUCAAGCCAUGAAAGCCGGGGGUACCUGAAGUACGUAACCGCAAGGAGCGUCCUAGGGUAAAACUGGUAAUUGGGGCUAAGUCGUAACAAGGUAGCCGUACCGGAAGGUGCGGCUGGAACACCUCCUUUCUGGAGC